RNAcentral lists this ribosomal RNA (497 nucleotides) under uncultured bacterium. RNAcentral's name for it is "partial 16S ribosomal RNA". It matches the Rfam family "Bacterial small subunit ribosomal RNA", at positions 28 to 507 of the family's 1533-position model. The record is from RNAcentral.
GAUGAACGCUGGCGGCGUGCCUAAUACAUGCAAGUCGAGCGAACAGAUAAGGAGCUUGCUCCUUUGACGUUAGCGGCGGACGGGUGAGUAACACGUGGGUAACCUACCUAUAAGACUGGAAUAACUCCGGGAAACCGGGGCUAAUGCCGGAUAACAUUUAGAACCGCAUGGUUCUAAAGUGAAAGAUGGUUUUGCUAUCACUUAUAGAUGGACCCGCGCCGUAUUAGCUAGCUGGUAAGGUAACGGCUUACCAAGGCAACGAUACGUAGCCGACCUGAGAGGGUGAGCGGCCACACUGGAACUGAGACACGGUCCAGACUCCUACGGGAGGCAGCAGUAGGGAAUCUUCCGCAAUGGGCGAAAGCCUGACGGAACAACGCCGCGUGAGUGAUGAAGGUCUUCGGAUCGUAAAACUCUGUUAUUAGGGAAGAACAAAUGUGUAAGUAACUGUGCACGUCUUGACGGUACCUAAUCAGAAAGCCACGGCUAACUACGUG